CCUACGGGCGGCUGCAGUGGGGAAUAUUGGACAAUGGGGGCAACCCUGAUCCAGCCAUGCCGCGUGUGUGAAGAAGGCCCUCGGGUUGUAAAGCACUUUCAGUGAGGAAGAACGCCUGGUGGUUAAUACCCAUCAGGAAAGACAUCACUCACAGAAGAAGCACCGGCUAACUCCGUGCCAGCAGCCGCGGUAAUACGGAGGGUGCGAGCGUUAAUCGGAAUUACUGGGCGUAAAGCGCGCGUAGGUGGCUUGAUAAGCCGGUUGUGAAAGCCCCGGGCUCAACCUGGGAACGGCAUCCUGAACUGUCAAGCUAGAGUGCAGGAGAGGAAGGUAGAAUUCCCGGUGUAGCGGUGAAAUGCGUAGAGAUCGGGAGGAAUACCAGUGGCGAAGGCGGCCUUCUGGACUGACACUGACACUGAGGUGCGAAAGCGUGGGUAGCAAACAGGAUUAGAUACCCGAGUAGUC
Molecule: ribosomal RNA, 465 nt
Filed under: Vreelandella stevensii
Lineage: Bacteria; Pseudomonadati; Pseudomonadota; Gammaproteobacteria; Oceanospirillales; Halomonadaceae
Description: partial 16S ribosomal RNA
Rfam family: Bacterial small subunit ribosomal RNA
Source: RNAcentral